RNAcentral lists this transfer RNA (71 nucleotides) under Loxodonta africana (African savanna elephant). It matches the Rfam family "tRNA". From Rfam's summary of the family: Transfer RNA (tRNA) molecules are approximately 80 nucleotides in length. Their secondary structure includes four short double-helical elements and three loops (D, anti-codon, and T loops). Further hydrogen bonds mediate the characteristic L-shaped molecular structure. tRNAs have two regions of fundamental functional importance: the anti-codon, which is responsible for specific mRNA codon recognition, and the 3' end, to which the tRNAs corresponding amino acid is attached (by aminoacyl-tRNA synthetases). tRNAs cope with the degeneracy of the genetic code in two manners: having more than one tRNA (with a specific anti-codon) for a particular amino acid; and 'wobble' base-pairing, i.e. permitting non-standard base-pairing at the 3rd anti-codon position. Lineage: Eukaryota; Metazoa; Chordata; Mammalia; Proboscidea; Elephantidae. The record is from Rfam by way of RNAcentral.
GCAAUGGUAGUUCAGUGGUAGAAUUCUCCUCUUCCAUCCCAGAGACCUGGGUUUGAUUUCCAGCCAGUACA